RNAcentral lists this ribosomal RNA (233 nucleotides) under uncultured bacterium. RNAcentral's name for it is "partial 16S ribosomal RNA". It matches the Rfam family "Bacterial small subunit ribosomal RNA", at positions 104 to 334 of the family's 1533-position model. The record is from RNAcentral.
CGGGGUGAGUAACGCGUGGGUAACCUGCCUUGUACUGGGGGACGAAACAGUUGGAAACGACUGCUAAUACCGCAUAAGCGCACAGCUUCGCAUGAAGCAGUGUGAAAAACUCCGGUGGUACAAGAUGGACCCGCGUCUGAUUAGCUGGUUGGUGAGGUAACGGCCCACCAAGGCAACGAUCAGUAGCCGGCUGAGAGGGUGAACGGCCACAUUGGGACUGAGACACGGCCCAA